GGACACCUGAGGAAAGGGCAGGGGUGUGUGUUUUUACGUUUUAGUUAAAAAAAAAAAAAAAGAACCAACUUGCCCUCAUGGAAGGAGUGUAAGCAAAAGUGGAUGUAGUCAGAGGCAUGUGCCUGGCUUGAUUGCUAUAUAACACAGUUUCUUAUUUCCAUUCUGUGAUCUCAGAUGGUGAGAGAGAGAGCUUGGCUCAGUGGAGCAAGAGAGAGAAAGAGAUACCUGGAGAGGUGGCAAGGGGCCAAGCCACACGGGCCCUCAGUGCGAGGUGAGGAGGGCGCUGGAGAGCCGUGGAGGGUUAGAGGCUGAGGAGGGAUGCAGUCACCUGGGGUGUGGGGGGAACAGCCAUCAAAUGGCUGCCUGUCCCUCAAGGGGUCCGGGCCCUGACAUAGCCCUGACCUCUUUGCUCCCCUCUUACCCACAGGAGCCGGCCUCUGAGUUUGGGGGCUGGGGCGGACAAACCUGUCCUGCAGGCAGGCCCGCCUGGGUGAGGCCACGCUGCUGCCGGUCUGACUGAGCCACACUCUGCAGGUAUAUGGUAGGAUGGAGCCCGAAAGCCAAGUGGCAGAUGUGGGUCAGAGAUGGCGGCCUACCUACCUGACUGCCCAGAGGUCAGAGGUCAGGUCAAACCCCGGCCUCCCAUCUAGCAAGUCCUGGCCUAUUAUUAUUAUUAUUGAGACGGAGUUCGAGACCAGCCUGGCCAACAUGGUGAAACCCGGUCUCUAACCCUGUCUCCUCACUGCCUCUGUCCUGCCGCGCAGGAGCGGGAUGCUGAGCCCUGUCCGCCCCACGGGGAGCUGCAGUACCUAAGGCAGGUGGAGCACAUCGUCUGCUGCAGCUGCAGGAAGGACGCCCCCAGGGCACCUGCUCUCUGCCGCCGCUGUUUUCGUUUUCGGCAGGCAGGCAGUCAGUCAGUCCCACUGCAGCCUGAGAAGUGACUUUCCUCUGCUGACAACCACAAUGUUUUGGAGGAGUUGCUGUCGUUUAUCAAGGGAUCCACAUAUGCUGAAGAACUGUC
RNAcentral lists this long non-coding RNA (1021 nucleotides) under Homo sapiens (human). Its description in RNAcentral is "long non-coding RNA NONHSAT180365.1". The record is from RNAcentral. Lineage: Eukaryota; Metazoa; Chordata; Mammalia; Primates; Hominidae.